ACCAUGCUUUUUCUCCCGCAGCCAUUGGCUGCCCCAUCUGUUUCCUGCCUCCGAGUGGAAUUAAUUGAGGAGGGAUGUUUUCUGGAUCUUUCGGAUUUGCCAUCUCCUCUACCCCCCUGCCCAAUUAUGGAUAUCCAGAGGCACUCUCUUGAGAUGGCCCUUAAGACACUAUCAAGGACGACAGCCUUAUGGGAACAGCGAGAGCUGCCCAACGGACGUGUCUAUUAUGUUGACCACAAUACCAAGACCACCACCUGGGAGCGGCCCCUUCCUCCAGGCUGGGAAAAACGCACAGAUCCCCGAGGCAGGUUUUACUAUGUGGAUCACAAUACUCGGACCACCACCUGGCAGCGUCCGACCGCGGAGUACGUGCGCAACUAUGAGCAGUGGCAGUCGCAGCGGAAUCAGCUCCAGGGGGCCAUGCAGCACUUCAGCCAAAGAUUCCUCUACCAGUCUUCGAGUGCUUCGACUGACCAUGAUCCCCUGGGCCCCCUCCCUCCUGGCUGGGAGAAGAGACAGGACAAUGG
RNAcentral lists this small RNA (527 nucleotides) under Pan troglodytes (chimpanzee). RNAcentral's name for it is "processed transcript". The record is from RNAcentral. Lineage: Eukaryota; Metazoa; Chordata; Mammalia; Primates; Hominidae.